CAAGAACUUGCUCAUCUGUUUCAAGACAUAGUUCAUAUAAUUUAACCAUACACGUGUUAGCCAAAGCCUUUCAAUAAAAAGAGAUAAAUAAUGAAACCUAAUGUUCCUCUUCUUAUAAUGAUCCUUUAGGCCUCAUCUACACAUGAAGUUAAUUAGUUUAAACUGGCAGAGGAAAAGCCUUGCCAUCAGGCUUACAAAGGGUAUAGUACAUUACAUGAUAGAAGAUGUUAAUAUUAGAAGUGGAACAGAUGGCUCAGAUUGAGAUUGGGAGCACAACUACAACUGAAAGAUGAAGAAAGAGAUUCAAAGAAGAACAAACAAGAGCAGAAAAUUCAAUUAAAAUGUCCAAUUUUGAGGAAGCAGGUGUGUGGAUUUUAUUAUUGAGACCUCUAGAUUCUCAUUUAGAGUAACCCAUUUGUGAGGCUUG
RNAcentral lists this long non-coding RNA (427 nucleotides) under Cyanistes caeruleus (blue tit). Its description in RNAcentral is "lncRNA (ENSCCEG00000002274.1)". The record is from RNAcentral. Lineage: Eukaryota; Metazoa; Chordata; Aves; Passeriformes; Paridae.